AGAGUUUGAUCCUGGCUCAGGAUGAACGCUGGCGGCGUGCUUAACACAUGCAAGUCGAACGAUGAAGCCAGCUUGCUGGUGGAUUAGUGGCGAACGGGUGAGUAACACGUGAGUAACCUGCCCUUAGCUCUGGGAUAGCUCCGGGAAACCGGAAUUAAUACCGGAUAUGACCAUGGCCGACAUCGGUUGUGGUGGAAAGAUUUAUCGGCUGGGGAUGGGCUCGCGGCCUAUCAGCUUGUUGGUGGGGUAAUGGCCUACCAAGGCGACGACGGGUAGCCGGCCUGAGAGGGCGACCGGCCACACUGGGACUGAGACACGGCCCAGACUCCUACGGGAGGCAGCAGUGGGGAAUAUUGCGCAAUGGGCGGAAGCCUGACGCAGCGACGCCGCGUGGGGGAUGAAGGCCUUCGGGUUGUAAACCCCUUUCGGCAGGGACGAAGCGGAAGUGACGGUACCUGCAGAAGAAGCACCGGCUAACUACGUGCCAGCAGCCGCGGUAACACGUAGGGUGCAAGCGUUGUCCGGAAUCAUUGGGCGUAAAGAGCUCGUAGGCGGUCUGUCACGUCUGCUGUGAAAACUCGGGGCUUAACCCCGAGCUUGCAGUGGAUACGGGCAGACUAGAGGUAGGUAGGGGAGAAUGGAAUUCCCGGUGUAGCGGUGAAAUGCGCAGAUAUCGGGAGGAACACCGGUGCGAAGGCGGUUCUCUGGGCCUUACCUGACGCUGAGGAGCGAAAGCGUGGGGAGCGAACAGGAUUAGAUACCCCUGUAGUCC
Molecule: ribosomal RNA, 772 nt
Filed under: uncultured bacterium
Lineage: Bacteria
Description: bacterial SSU rRNA
Rfam family: Bacterial small subunit ribosomal RNA
Source: RNAcentral